RNAcentral lists this unclassified non-coding RNA (245 nucleotides) under Dendrophoma cytisporoides. RNAcentral describes it as "partial contains 5.8S ribosomal RNA, internal transcribed spacer 2, and large subunit ribosomal RNA". The record is from RNAcentral. Lineage: Eukaryota; Fungi; Ascomycota; Sordariomycetes; Chaetosphaeriales.
CGCACAUUGCGCCCGCCAGCACUCUGGCGGGCAUGCCUGUUCGAGCGUCAUUUCAACCCUCAGGCCCUGCCUGGCGUUGGGGCGCUGCCGUCCACCAAGCGGCAGGCUCCUAAAGACAGCGGCGGGAGCGCCCGCGACCGAGCGUAGUACAGCACCUCGCUCAGGGAGCACGGCGCCCUCUGGCCGGAAAAGCACCAAUUACAGUGGUUGACCUCGGAUCAGGUAGGAAUACCCGCUGAACUUAA